Molecule: long non-coding RNA, 269 nt
Filed under: Ananas comosus (pineapple)
Lineage: Eukaryota; Viridiplantae; Streptophyta; Magnoliopsida; Poales; Bromeliaceae
Description: long non-coding RNA (ACOM_LNC005949)
Source: RNAcentral
CUGGAUUUAUUGGAUUCAGUUAAAAUUGUACUGUAAUAAUAAGGGCAUCAAUUAAAAGUAGGGCCCAUUUUAAUUUGCGCUAUACAAUUUAGCGUAUUUUUUACUUUAAUAUCUUAUAGUUUAAAAGAUUAUACUGAAAUAUUUUGUAAUUUUUUUUAUUUUAUUACAAGAAUUUAUUGUAAACAUAAUUAAAUAGAAUUAAAGUAAUUUUUUUUUGAUAACUAUAGAAUGGUAAAAUGUAAAUUAUAUAAUAAUAAACUAAUAUAUUG